RNAcentral lists this long non-coding RNA (1014 nucleotides) under Equus caballus (horse). Its description in RNAcentral is "lncRNA (ENSECAG00000047814.1)". Lineage: Eukaryota; Metazoa; Chordata; Mammalia; Perissodactyla; Equidae. The record is from RNAcentral.
CAGAAGUGUCACAAAUCGGAGCCAGACCAGAUGUGUGGUAAAAGAAAAAGAGCGUGAUGGCCUCACAUUGCCUCACAGUCCAUUUCCUCUAGGACAGGACAGCGCACUGCCGGGUUUCUAGGGGCAACAGCCCUCCCCUUGGACGCUUACAAGGGAGAGAGACCAGGCUCCCAAGUGUGGCCUCUCACCCACGUGACAGCAGUUACCUCUGGCGAGAGGAGGGAGCAAGACCGCGGAAGGAACAAAGACAGCCUCAACUUUAUCUGCAAUCUUCUAUUUCCGUUAUAAAAUUAAGGUCUCUGCGAACCUUUUAUGACAAAAUAUUAACAUGAUAUUUGGGGAGGUGAUUUAAUUACUAUACAUUUCUCUGAAUCUUUAAACUUCAUACAGUCCUUCAAAUGUUAACAGUGGCGAAAUUAGUGGCAAUACCUUUUUUCUCCUUUCAUGUAUUUCUCACAUAUCUUCUAAGGAGCAUAUUUUUCUUUUCUGAUAAGAAAACAUCUUUUUAAAGUUUGUGUUGAGGAGUUGCUUAUACACAGGCGCCGUGAGAGAGGUGCUACGUGGAGAGCUGUUUGGACCUGGGCCCUACGCUUUAUAAAGAGAUGACACUGGAAGGCGCAAACUCUGUGAACAGAGUCAUUUGAGGAGCAGAAUAAAAACGUUUAACGCCGUGGCAUAGAAUGAAACUAUAUUGUCUUGAAUUCCAGCUAGGUCAAAGUUACAGGACAGCCUUCGUUUACAUGGGGCCCCGUGAUAGCGUUCGGCCUUCUAUCACUGUGAGUACUGUUGAGAACUCUUCUUUUCUGGGCAUCCCACGGAAAUGAAAGCAGCACUGCCUGAGCCAAAGGGAAGAUACACACCAACCGACACCAGCUCUGGUGGGGGCAGCGGCCUUACGUUAUAAGGGGGACAGCUUAAGGAUUCAGAGAAAAGCUUGUAUGACUUUUUAUCAACAUGAAAAACUAAUCGAAGACAAAAAGCAAAUAAUUAGUAAGACCAAGUGAAGAAUGCGUG